This 1451-nucleotide long non-coding RNA is filed under the name Homo sapiens (human). RNAcentral describes it as "PIK3R5 divergent transcript, transcript variant 3 (PIK3R5-DT)". Lineage: Eukaryota; Metazoa; Chordata; Mammalia; Primates; Hominidae. The record is from RNAcentral.
AUCCUCUGGGUCACGCCCCCGAGGCCGCAAGGCGUCUGAGAAGCAGCCCCGGCUCUGACCCGCCAGCCCUCGGAAGAAGCAGACCCUGGCCGGUCCAUGGCAGUGGCCCGAGGGGCACCAGCGCGGAGCACCAGCGACCCCCAAGGAACGACGUUGCAGAUGAUGCUCUACCAAGAGUUGGAAGGACUCCCCAGGGAAUCCCACAAGACACUGCGCUUCCUAUGCCUCCUUUCCCUCGUUUAAAAAAUGGGGAUAAGAAGGUUGGCUACUGCUCCGACAGCCCUCACAAUGGAAGAGUAGCACUUCAUUUGUGGGUUAACAAAGGGCAACGCUGAAAUCUCCACUUCCACUAUUGAAUGGAACUGUGUCAUAAUAUCUGUUAGAGGCGUGCAAACUCGGCCACAAGGUCAUGGUCAUACGUUAUUGUUGGUCAAAAGCCGCAGCCCUACCUGAGGCUUUGAGAGAUAUGAACACCAAUGACUUUUCUUUUCCUGACUCCCGAAAUACCAAGAAAAAGCAACUUCCCCAAAUGGACAGAAACAGAAAGUACCCUUGGUUGAACACAGAGGCCUGGUUCCAGCCAUCGUUAGACGUGGGAAGGAACUCAGACCCCCUCUCCUACCUCAUCCCCAACCCCUUCCCCACACGUCACCCUUUCACAGAGAAGGAACCAGAGCCACCAAGGGCUGAGAGAGGACUUGAUAAGGAUUCCAGUCUUCUGUCUCCCCUGUCCCCACUUUUUCCACCACAAAAAUAUGGACAUUUGGAAGAAGAGGAGAAGAGGGAAGGUACACACUGUGCAAAGGAAGAAAAUGGCAGAAAUGCUCUGGAAUCAGGAAUUCAGGAGCAAGAAUGACACUGUGUGCCAGAUGGAAAUGUUGGAUUAGGAGAGCACUUGGAAAGGCAAAUAAUCUGCCAGAGAAAUUAUGGGAUGCCUGCCUUCUGAAAAUGGAGGAAAACUGCAAAAGAGUGGCUCAUUGGUGCUCACUCCUAGGGCUCUGAGCAUCCCAAGAAGCCAACUUGGUCCCAUCGUACAUCCCCUCAGAAGUAGGCAUUCUCCUCUCCACCUACAGCUGUGGCCCAGAUGUGGAGCCUGCAUGUUAUGCCACGCCGUCAACACUGAGUUCUGUCUGCGUCUCCCUGUCACAGAUCUGAUCAGCACCUGACACCUAUCCAUUCUCCAUUUCCCACCUCCCCAAAGCUGCUGGAAAAACUCUGAAAGGUGGGAGCAUGCACCAGUGAAACCUGAGUUCUUUCUGUUCACAUGAGGUAAUCUUCCCACUGGCUGGAAGACACUUCAUUUAUACAAACAGCGAUUACUGUAAAAGUGUAUUCAUGUUGUUCAUCACAUGAAUAGGACAUGGGAGAAAAACUAUAUAAUUAUCCUGAGAAAAUGCCCCCUAAUGCAAAUUCUCUGUGGUUAGGAAUAAAAGGAGACUUUGUCAACAUGA